This is a non-coding RNA of Mus caroli (Ryukyu mouse), 430 nucleotides long. NCBI's taxonomy places the organism in Eukaryota, Metazoa, Chordata, Mammalia, Rodentia, Muridae. The record is from the annotation of a RefSeq genome assembly.
AUCAGACAGGCCUGGCAGCAAGAUGGAAUCACAGACACAGGUCCUCAUGUUUCUGCUGCUCUGGGUAUCUGGUGCCUGUGCAGACAUUGUGAUGACACAGUCUCCAUCCUCCCUGGCUAUGUCAGUAGGACAGAAGGUCACUAUGAGCUGCAAGUCCAGUCAGAGCCUUUUAAGUAGUGGCAACCAAAAGAACUAUUUGGCCUGGUACCAGCAGAAACCCGGACAAUCUCCUAAACUUCUGAUAUACUUUGCAUCCACUAGGGAAUCUGGGGUCCCUGAUCGCUUCAUAGGCAGUGGAUCUGGGACAGAUUUCACUCUUACCAUCAGCAGUGUGCAGGCUGAAGACCUGGCAGAUUAUUUCUGUCAGCAACAUUAUAGCACUCCUCCCACAGUGCUUCAGCCUUCUACACAAACCUCGUUGAGAGUUUAA